RNAcentral lists this transfer RNA (72 nucleotides) under Toxocara canis (dog roundworm). It matches the Rfam family "tRNA". Rfam says of the family: Transfer RNA (tRNA) molecules are approximately 80 nucleotides in length. Their secondary structure includes four short double-helical elements and three loops (D, anti-codon, and T loops). Lineage: Eukaryota; Metazoa; Nematoda; Chromadorea; Rhabditida; Toxocaridae. The record is from Rfam by way of RNAcentral.
CGGGCAGUAGCUCAGUGGUAGAGCUCCCACUUCGGAUGCGGGAAGACCUGGGUUUGAUUCCAGGCUGCUUCC